This is a long non-coding RNA of Hippoglossus stenolepis (Pacific halibut), 1403 nucleotides long. RefSeq lists it as uncharacterized. Lineage: Eukaryota; Metazoa; Chordata; Actinopteri; Pleuronectiformes; Pleuronectidae. The record is from RefSeq and is a predicted model, not a curated record. The transcript has 3 exons.
CAGAGAGUUGAAGCAGACACUACUGGAGAGCCCAGAUGUAGCAGAGGUGCUGUAUAGGUGGGGGGUGGGGGAGCAGAAAGCAGAGGGAAAUAGGGGUAGAGGUCGAAGACAAAGCCAGCAGCAGAGCUUCAAACAGCACACUGACGGAUUUACUACCCAUACGAUAAAGCAAACAACCCACAGAGCUUCUCAGCACGGUGGGGUGAAAGACUGGACUUGCAAGCUGGCGGCAGGCUGUCCCAGUGGAGGGAACAUAAGGUGUGGCGUCUACUUCAGAUACAACACACCUCUUAGGAUCACAGCUCACCAAGAAGUUCCAGUCGGUGUUGAUGCGGUCAGCCAGGCCGGUGACGAGGAUCGCGAGGUAGACGGAGGAAAGGAAGAAGGUGGUGACGGAGACGAACAUCACCCAGCCCUGCAGCAGAGGCACGGGCACGUUGGAGGAGGCCACCAGGAUCCAUACCAAACCCCCAAAUAACUGGGGAUAAAAAACAGAGACUCUCAGUGGUGACAGUGUGAGGUGUUAGUGUAUAUACUGGCAAACAGCUCUGCAAUCUUCAAGACGGGAGGUUUCAAAAACACAGGAUCCAUUUGAAUGUUCAUGGUUUAGGGUUUCAGGCUUGUCAGCAGUUUAUGAUACAUUUGGAAGACAAAGGUACGCGUGCUGGUACAAUGUAUUGUACUCAGGGAUACACAACUUCCAAUUAUCUUCCAAUUCCAAUUCCGAUUCCUAUACCUCAGCUUAAAGGACAAUUCGAGAAUUUUCACGUUUUCCCCCCAGUCCUUCUGCAAUAACCCACGUCUCAUGAAACUUUAGUGUUAAGCAAAGACCCAGAAUAACAAUUUUGGUGGAAAAAAAACACUUUUAGUUGACAUUUCAUGGACAGUCGCAGUUGCCCCUUAAGAUUUCAUUGUAGCCGCUGCCACCGUGUCGCGGCUGCCGCUAGAGACGUUGAAAACUACCAGACUUCCACUUUAAGAUAUCUAUGGAUAGCUUUACUAGUGCUCUCUCUCUAUUUCAAUCUACACAAGUCAUUGGGAUCACUUUUACAUGAAGUAACAUGAGCCAGCUGCAGCCAUUCAGAUGCAAUGCUACGAAUGUAACUGGGAGCAUUCGCACUUAAUUUGACCCGCGAUGCAGAUUUAGUCAUUUGUGAGGCCAUGAGGAUAAAAUACAGUGUUGUGUUAGAGAAUGCAUGUCAGAGUAGCAAAUGUUAUCUUUGUGGUUUCCAAAAGGGCAAACAUGAAGGUAACACAACUGAUAAAAGCACUAAAGUGUCAUUUUAAUGCAGCUUUUUAUGGAGCAUAUAUUGUAGCUAAUAAAAGGUGGAACAUGUUGGAAAAGAGUUUUAGUAUCUGGUACAACUCAGAGUUCAAAUGACUGAAGUGUAAAUACAAAUAAU